GAUGAACGCUAGCGGCAGGCUUAACACAUGCAAGUCGAGGGGCAGCGCGGGAUAGCAAUAUCCUGGCGGCGACCGGCGGAAGGGUGCGUAACGCGUGAGCGACAUGCCCGUUGCCCGGGGACAACCGGGGGAAACGCCGACCAAUCCCCGAUGGGAUAUUGUGCCACAACGCACGAUAUUGCAAGUUACCGCGGCGACAGAUGGGCACGCGUCCGCUUAGGUUGUUGGCGGGGUAACAGCCCACCAAGGGUGGGGUCGGUAGGGGUUCUGAGAGAAAGGCCCCCCACAGUGGGACUGAGACACGGCACAUACUCCUACGGGAGGCAGCAGGGAGGAAUAUUGGUCAAUGGGCGGAAGCCUGAACAAGCCAGGCCGCGUGCGGGAAGGAGGCCCUAUGGGCUGUGAACCGGUUUUGCCUGGGGGCAAUAAGGGCGUAGCGCACGUCCGAUGAGAGUACCAGGCGAAUAAGCAUCGGCUAACUCCGUG
This 486-nucleotide ribosomal RNA is filed under the name uncultured bacterium. RNAcentral describes it as "partial 16S ribosomal RNA". It matches the Rfam family "Bacterial small subunit ribosomal RNA", at positions 28 to 507 of the family's 1533-position model. The record is from RNAcentral.